RNAcentral lists this ribosomal RNA (427 nucleotides) under uncultured bacterium. Its description in RNAcentral is "partial 16S ribosomal RNA". It matches the Rfam family "Bacterial small subunit ribosomal RNA", at positions 355 to 774 of the family's 1533-position model. RNAcentral also lists the same sequence under 1 other name. The record is from RNAcentral.
UGGGGAAUUUUGGACAAUGGGCGCAAGCCUGAUCCAGCAAUGCCGCGUGAGUGAAGAAGGCCUUCGGGUUGUAAAGCUCUUUUGUCAGGGAAGAAACGGUGAGGGCUAAUAUCCCUUGCUAAUGACGGUACCUGAAGAAUAAGCACCGGCUAACUACGUGCCAGCAGCCGCGGUAAUACGUAGGGUGCAAGCGUUAAUCGGAAUUACUGGGCGUAAAGCGUGCGCAGGCGGUUUUGUAAGUUUGUCGUGAAAGCCCCGGGCUCAACCUGGGAAUUGCGAUGAAGACUGCAAGGCUUGAAUCUGGCAGAGGGGGGUAGAAUUCCACGUGUAGCAGUGAAAUGCGUAGAGAUGUGGAGGAACACCGAUGGCGAAGGCAGCCCCCUGGGUCAAGAUUGACGCUCAUGCACGAAAGCGUGGGGAGCAAACA